GAUUCAUGAUGAAGAGAAAUUUGAUCCCGCUGAGUUCAAGGACUCAGAUUCUGAGUUACCAGUGCCGAGUCUGGUAAACCCACUUCCUGCUAGGGUUAUGCCUUCCCCAAUGUUGAGCAGAAAGCAGCUUCCUCCUUUACUGGAAAAUGCAAGAAGGUAUGGAGAAGCUAAGGGUAUUAUAGUAAAUACGUUCUUGGAGCUAGAAUCCCAUGCGAUUGAGUCUUUCAAAAUACCUCCUAUUUAUCCUGUAGGACCCAUUUUGGAUGUAAGGUCGGAUGGAAGAAGCAAUCACCAAGAAAUCAUGCAAUGGCUUGAUGAUCAGCCUCCUUCAUCUGUGUUGUUCUUUCUUGUGCUUUGGGAGCAACGAAGGUUUGAUGAGGAUCAAGUGAAAGAGAUUGCCUAUGCGCUAGAGCGCAGUAGGUAUCGAUUCUUAUGGUCCCUGCGACGACCAUCACCUCCGGGUCUCUUACCAUCUCCAAGUGACUAUGAGGAUCCACAGGAGGUCUUGCCUGAAGGAUUCUUAAAUCGAAUGACUGGAAUUGGAAAGGUGAUAGGAUGGGCUCCACAAGUGACUAUCUUGGCCCAUCCAGCCGUAGGAGGAUUUGUUUCACAUUGUG
Molecule: unclassified non-coding RNA, 617 nt
Filed under: Hevea brasiliensis (rubber tree)
Lineage: Eukaryota; Viridiplantae; Streptophyta; Magnoliopsida; Malpighiales; Euphorbiaceae
Source: RNAcentral